GACAGAGGUGCCGAGCGUUAGGCGGAAUCACUGGGCUUAAAGCGUGUGUAGGCGGACGUCUAAGUACCUUGUGAAAUCCCACGGCUCAACCGUGGAACGGCUUGGUAUACUGGGCGUCUUGAGCCACUUAGGGGUCGUCGGAACAAGCGGUGGAGCGGUGAAAUGCGUAGAUAUCAUUUGGAACGCCAAUGGUGAAAACAGGUAGCUGGGGGUGUGCUGACGCUGAGACACGAAAGCCAGGGGAGCAAACGGG
This 253-nucleotide ribosomal RNA is filed under the name uncultured bacterium. RNAcentral's name for it is "partial 16S ribosomal RNA". It matches the Rfam family "Bacterial small subunit ribosomal RNA", at positions 524 to 776 of the family's 1533-position model. The record is from RNAcentral.